CUACGGAGGGUGCAAGCGUUAUUCGGAAUCACUGGGCGUAAAGGACGCGUAGGCGGGUUGGCAAGUCAGAUGUGAAAUCCUACAGCUUAACUGUAGAACUGCAUUUGAAACUGCUAACCUAGAGUAUGGGAGGGGGAGAUGGAAUUAGUGGUGUAGGGGUAAAAUCCGUAGAUAUCACUAGGAAUACCGAAAGCGAAGGCGAUCUCCUGGAACAUAACUGACGCUAAGGCGUGAAAGCGUGGGGAGCAAACAGGAUUAGAUACCCCAGUAGUCC
This 274-nucleotide ribosomal RNA is filed under the name uncultured bacterium. Its description in RNAcentral is "partial 16S ribosomal RNA". It matches the Rfam family "Bacterial small subunit ribosomal RNA", at positions 523 to 796 of the family's 1533-position model. The record is from RNAcentral.